UGAUGACAAUGAAAAAUGUCACUCGGGUGGUAGGAAAAAAAUGACAAAUCAGCUAUUGGAAUUUGGUACACAAAAUAAAGGUAAACCGAUUAUAAAGAAUCACGCCACCAACUAAAGCCAAAUUCCAAGUAAGAUACGUGGCUUUCUACUUAGACCAAGCAACUGCGUCAAUUUCAGCUUGAGCGCUUCUGUAUAACUCGAGCCUCUUUGCCAGGGCAGUGCGUCUUGCCAUGACUGCUGGAUCCUCGUUCAAUAAUGAUGCCAAC
This 266-nucleotide long non-coding RNA is filed under the name Vitis vinifera (wine grape). RNAcentral's name for it is "long non-coding RNA (VVIN_LNC000341)". The record is from RNAcentral. Lineage: Eukaryota; Viridiplantae; Streptophyta; Magnoliopsida; Vitales; Vitaceae.